CUCUCAAAACUGUGUAUCUUGAGUAGUGCAGAGGUAGGCGGAAUUCCCGGUGUAGCGGUGGAAUGCGUAGAUAUCGGGAGGAACACCAGUGGCGAAGGCGGCCUACUGGGCACCAACUGACGCUGAGGCUCGAAAGUGUGGGUAGCAAACAGGAUUAGAUACCCUGGUAGUCCACACCGUAAACGAUGAUUACUAGGUGUUGGAGGAUAGACCCCUUCAGUGCCGCAGUUAACACAAUAAGUAAUCCACCUGGGGAGUACGACCGCAAGGUUGAAACUCAAAGGAAUUGACGGGGGCCCGCACAAGCAGUGGAGUAUGUGGUUUAAUUCGACGCAACGCGAAGAACCUUACCAAGUCUUGACAUCCUCUGGCGAGUACAGAAAUGUGCUUUUCCUUCGGGACAGAGAGACAGGUGGUGCAUGGUUGUCGUCAGCUCGUGUCGUGAGAUGUUGGGUUAAGUCCCGCAACGAGCGCAACCCUUAUGGAUAGUUACUACGCAAGAGGACUCUAUUCAGACUGCCGUUGACAAAACGGAGGAAGGUGGGGAUGACGUCAAAUCAUCAUGCCCUUUAUGACUUGGGCUACACACGUACUACAAUGGCGUUCAACAAAGAGAAGCGAAGCCGCGAGGCAGAGCAAAACUCAAAAACAACGUCCCAGUUCAGAUUGCAGGCUGCAACUCGCCUGCAUGAAGUCGGAAUUGCUAGUAAUCGCAGAUCAGCAUGCUGCGGUGAAUACGUUCCCGGGCCUUGUACACACCGCCCGUCACACCAUGAGAGCCGGGGGGACCCGAAGUCGGCAGUCUAACCGCAAGGAGGACGCCGCCGAAGGUAAAACUGGUGAUUGGGGUGAAGUCGUAACAAAGGUAGCCGUAAAGCC
RNAcentral lists this ribosomal RNA (879 nucleotides) under uncultured bacterium. Its description in RNAcentral is "bacterial SSU rRNA". It matches the Rfam family "Bacterial small subunit ribosomal RNA", at positions 624 to 1509 of the family's 1533-position model. The record is from RNAcentral.